GAUGAACGCUAGCUACAGGCUUAACACAUGCAAGUCGAGGGGUAACGACAGCGAAAGCUUGCUUUUGCUGGGCGACGACCGGCGCACGGGUGAGUAACGCGUAUCCAACCUUCCCCUUAGUAGGGCACAGCCCGGCGAAAGUCGGAUUAAUUCCCUAUGUUGUUUGAUGCUGACAUCAAAAUCAAACCAAAGAUUCAUCGCUAAGGGAUGGGGAUGCGUCUGAUUAGAUAGUAGGCGGGGUAACGGCCCACCUAGUCAACGAUCAGUAGGGGUUCUGAGAGGAAGGUCCCCCACAUUGGAACUGAGACACGGUCCAAACUCC
Molecule: ribosomal RNA, 322 nt
Filed under: uncultured Bacteroidales bacterium
Lineage: Bacteria; Pseudomonadati; Bacteroidota; Bacteroidia; Bacteroidales
Description: bacterial SSU rRNA
Rfam family: Bacterial small subunit ribosomal RNA
Source: RNAcentral